CUCAGAACAAAACUACAGAUCAUUAGCUGGAUAAAGCAAGCCAGAGAUCCAGAGAGAGCACGAGUGGGAAAGGUGUUUAAAAUGUCAUCCAAUGCUAAAGAAAGACACUAAGAAAAGGAAAGAAGGAAAAAACAUGCAUUGAAGGCCCCUGAACUCAUAUAUUCCAACAGCUUAAAAAGAUGUCAAGAACAUUCCAUGCUAGAAUUGCAGUGCUAUAAACCACGGCCCAUUUCUUCUAUGGUCAUCUAAAAGACAAUUUAAGCUUUGAUAUAUUAAAGCAACUGUGGAAUGUUAAGAUAAUGAUGUUGCUGAUGAUAUGGAUGAACAGAGAAACCAUCCCUGACUAAGGCCAGCAGUCUGCUCUUUCCCUAACAGUUUCUUUAUUCCUGCUGUUUAAAAACCAGAUAAUUAAUAAAAUGAUGGUCAUCUGGCUUUCUCUUGGAAACCAAAGACGAAUCAUGGAGGCUGCUCAAUGUUUAAAUACCCUUGGAGCUUUCUUAGCCAAGUCUGCUACCAUAGAAGGAUAUGUUUGAAGGGUAUAUUUUGGCUGUGAAGGCCGAAAAACCCACUCCAGUAACUUGUCUUUCUGAUGUAUACAUCCAAAAGGUAUAUCUGGGGUAUCUAAUAUUGUAACUUCUAAAGGCACACCAGAUUCUAUGCGAUGAGCCAUUGCAGUUUCAAUUGAUUUUUGUAUUUUUUCUAAUUGCUGUUUUGCUUUUGUAGUAAGUGUUCUAGGAGAUGUAGGAUCAGGGUCUCCUCUAAGAAUAUCAUAUA
Non-coding RNA from Phascolarctos cinereus (koala), 774 nucleotides. The record is from RefSeq and is a predicted model, not a curated record. NCBI's taxonomy places the organism in Eukaryota, Metazoa, Chordata, Mammalia, Diprotodontia, Phascolarctidae.